UGCAAGUCGAGGGGCAGCAUUUCGCUAGCAAUAGUGAAGAUGGCGACCGGCGCACGGGUGAGUAACACGUAUCCAACCUGCCGAUAACUCGGGGAUAGCCUUUCGAAAGAAAGAUUAAUAUCCGAUAGUAUAUUAAAACCGCAUGGUUUUUACUAUUAAAGAAUUUCGGUUAUCGAUGGGGAUGCGUUCCAUUAGAUAGUAGGCGGGGUAACGGCCCACCUAGUCUUCGAUGGAUAGGGGUUCUGAGAGGAAGGUCCCCCACAUUGGAACUGAGACACGGUCCAAACUCC
Molecule: ribosomal RNA, 290 nt
Filed under: uncultured Bacteroides sp.
Lineage: Bacteria; Pseudomonadati; Bacteroidota; Bacteroidia; Bacteroidales; Bacteroidaceae
Description: partial 16S ribosomal RNA
Rfam family: Bacterial small subunit ribosomal RNA
Source: RNAcentral